RNAcentral lists this ribosomal RNA (497 nucleotides) under uncultured bacterium. Its description in RNAcentral is "partial 16S ribosomal RNA". It matches the Rfam family "Bacterial small subunit ribosomal RNA", at positions 28 to 507 of the family's 1533-position model. The record is from RNAcentral.
GAUGAACGCUGGCGGCGUGCCUAAUACAUGCAAGUCGAGCGAACAGACGAGGAGCUUGCUCCUCUGACGUUAGCGGCGGACGGGUGAGUAACACGUGGAUAACCUACCUAUAAGACUGGGAUAACUUCGGGAAACCGGAGCUAAUACCGGAUAAUAUAUUGAACCGCAUGGUUCAAUAGUGAAAGACGGUUUUGCUGUCACUUAUAGAUGGAUCCGCGCCGCAUUAGCUAGUUGGUAAGGUAACGGCUUACCAAGGCGACGAUGCGUAGCCGACCUGAGAGGGUGAUCGGCCACACUGGAACUGAGACACGGUCCAGACUCCUACGGGAGGCAGCAGUAGGGAAGCUUCCGCAAAGGGCGAAAGCCUGACGGAGCAACGCCGCGUGAGUGAUGAAGGUCUUCGGAUCGUAAAACUCUGUUAUUAGGGAAGAACAAAUGUGUAAGUAACUAUGCACGUCUUGACGGUACCUAAUCAGAAAGCCACGGCUAACUACGUG